Molecule: long non-coding RNA, 535 nt
Organism: Fundulus heteroclitus (mummichog)
Lineage: Eukaryota; Metazoa; Chordata; Actinopteri; Cyprinodontiformes; Fundulidae
Exons: 2
Source: RefSeq, a predicted model, not a curated record
UCCUGGGCCCAGGACAACUGACCCGUUUGUCCCCCCCUGUUGGCGGGCGUGUGCACAGCCAGCAACACAGCCGCUCUUCUUGACCUACUGAGCCGCUGCUGCAUUCUCAGAGAACUACGGCAGAGGAUGAACAUGGUUGCGUUCAAUGACCAUAGAAGGAAUUAACAGAGAAAGCGAAUAAGAAUUAGAAGACUAACGAGAUACAUCCCAGUCAAGACUAGAGCGGCCAAGGCAGCCACAACUAAAAAUCGUCCCUCGAACCUGUCAAGGAGACAGAAGAUGCUUUUCUAAAGACUGGCACAACACAUGUAAAUGGUUUGAAUUGAGCCUGGUAACCAGAGUUGGAGACUAUGGAUCUUUUCCGUGAAGUUAUUUUUGUAAAAGCGAUUAUUUAUUUUUGUUUCAGACUAAGUAAAGGUUUAACUGUUUCUUACAUAUACAGUAUAACCUUGUAAUCAAAAUAUGACUGUUGUUCCCUGUUUUCCCUGAAAUUCUUGUUGCAUAAAUAAAGAUAUAAUUUCUGUUUUUGCUUUUA